CUCGAUCAACCACCAACGUCGUUCUCGGUCAACUACACCAACAUUUCAGCGGCGUCGAGGUAACUCCAGUCCGACGCGUCGAGGUAACUCCAGUACUCCGGCAAGUCGAGGUAACUCCAGUCGGACUUCUAUUUGUCAUUUCCUCCAUUCUCUUUCCCCCAAUCUCGUUCUCAACCACUAACAUUUCUCCAUUCUCUUCCCCCAAUCUCGUUCUCAAACAUUUUUCUUUUUCUAUUUGUUUUUUCCCACUCGCC
RNAcentral lists this long non-coding RNA (254 nucleotides) under Zostera marina. RNAcentral describes it as "long non-coding RNA (ZMAR_LNC005697)". The record is from RNAcentral. Lineage: Eukaryota; Viridiplantae; Streptophyta; Magnoliopsida; Alismatales; Zosteraceae.